Molecule: ribosomal RNA, 770 nt
Filed under: uncultured bacterium
Lineage: Bacteria
Description: bacterial SSU rRNA
Rfam family: Bacterial small subunit ribosomal RNA
Source: RNAcentral
UUCGCCCUUCCUACGGGGGGCAGCAGUGAGGAAUAUUGGACAAUGGAUGGAAAUCUGAUCCAGCCAUGCCGCGUGCAGGAAGACGGCCCUAUGGGUUGUAAACUGCUUUCGUAUGGGAGCAAUAAGGUCUAUGCGUAGACUGAUGAGAGUACCAUACGAAUAAGCAUCGGCUAACUCCGUGCCAGCAGCCGCGGUAAUACGGGGGAUGCAAGCGUUAUCCGGAUUUAUUGGGUUUAAAGGGUGCGUAGGCGGUUUGAUAAGUCAGCGGUGAAAUAUUUCAGCUUAACUGAAAGGGUGCCGUUGAUACUGUCAGGCUUGAAUAUGGUUGCUGUGGGUGGAAUGUGUGGUGUAGCGGUGAAAUGCUUUGAUAUCACACAGAAUAUCGAUUGCGAAGGCAGCUCACAAAGCCAUUAUUGACGCUGAUGCACGAAAGUGUGGGGAUCAAACAGGAUCAGAUACCCUGGUAGUCCACACUGUAAACGAUGAUAACUCGCUGUCGGCGAUACACAGUCGGUAGCCAAGCGAAAGCGAUAAGUUAUCCACCUGGGGAGUACGACCGCAAGGUUGAAACUCAAAGGAAUUGACGGGGACCCGCACAAGCGGAGGAACAUGUGGUUUAAUUCGAUGAUACGCGAGGAACCUUACCCGGGCUCGAACGGUGCAGGAAUAUGUCAGAGAUGGCAUAGCUAGCAAUAGUCUGUAUCGAGGUGCUGCAUGGUUGUCGUCAGCUCGUGCCGUGAGGUGUCGGCUUAAGUGCCAUAACGAGUGCA